This 1683-nucleotide long non-coding RNA is filed under the name Phascolarctos cinereus (koala). Its description in RNAcentral is "lncRNA (ENSPCIG00000027222.2)". The record is from RNAcentral. Lineage: Eukaryota; Metazoa; Chordata; Mammalia; Diprotodontia; Phascolarctidae.
AUUUCAGCCCUGAGGAGAGACACUAAGUCUCUCUGGAACCUUAGGAAUGAGGCUGAGUGUGCUUGGGGUUUUCACUAAAGAUAACACUAUAUAUAUAGUGUAUUAUAUAGAGGUUAUGUUUUGUAAAUGACUUUAUAUACAUUCAUUUCUAUAUUUGGUCCUCACCUCCCUGUGAAAUAGCUAUCCAUGUGGCAGAUGAGGAAAGGAGGGAUACAGGAGUUAAAGGACUGCCCAGAACCAUACUGCUAGUUAGUGGCAAAGCUAGGACUCAGACUUAUAUUGGCUGAUUCCAUAUAAAUGUAUUACAGGGGACAAGAAUCAUCUCCCUUUGUAAUUGACGGAGUGGAUGCACAGCUAUGCUUGAAGCCUCAGUGUGGGUGGAAUGUCAAGGAGAGAGAUGUGUGAAAAUUUAAAGGAGAAUUAACCAGAGGGGGAUUGAAGAAAUUUCCUGGAGAUCUCACUGAUCUGGAGAUUCCUGGGAGAGUGAGUGAGAAAUGAACCUCGAGGAGAAACUGACCUCUAAUGCAGAGGGUGGAAGAGGAGGACGCUGGAGAAAGAGCAGCUUCGGCGGCCAUUGCAUUCCCUCCCUCCCAGAUCUGUCCUCCUAUCAGAAGCGGUGCCAGAACCAGCCCCACAAUGGGGGUUUCACCCAAGGGCCCCAACCUAAUAUGGGGUGCAUGCUUUCUCAUGGGGCUUGGUGGACUACCCUGUCCUGUCCUACAAGCCCGAUGGCCUAUAGUGGAACUGUAUGCUGUGCAGUGCCUUGCCUUACCUACUCAACUGGUUUGCUUUACGUGCAGUUUCUGCUAGUUAUAGCUCUGAUCAGAAGGAUGCAAAGUCACCCGGAGCAUGAUGACAACCACCCCAGCAGCCCAAGACUGGAGAAGGGUGAAGAGCUUGUAAGGAAGAAGUAAGCUGAUGGGAUUUUCAUUGUUUUUUUUCCAGAAGCCAUAGAUUAAAAAGGGUGACUUCUCCCUGGCCUCUCAGGGGGGAUUCAUCAUUGCCCUGAAACUCCAAUAACAGACUUUCUCCUGCCCUAUACAAACUUUUGACCUUAUUUAAACUACUGGAAUCCUAAUUACUAAGACAGCUAUACAUACUACACUCCUGUCAGAACUCAACAUUUAUUUAUAAAACUUAAUUUGAAGUCCCAGCCCAGGUUCUGGUUUAUUUGGAAGUAACUUGGAUCCCUCAGGCAGACAGUGAAGAAGAAAGGAAUGAUUUGGAUUUUUCACUAGCAGCACUGUCACUGUGUGCCAGGACACAGAAAAAGAGUUCACUGACCAGGAGCCAACCCUGAUGUUAUCUCAAAGAGAAGCUAAACCCCAGGCCUUUCCAGAAGGCAGAAGAAGGUGAAGCUAGGAUAGCAGUUCCUGAUAGACUGUUGAGAGCAGCUCCCUAUGUUUCUCACUCCAGAGGCUCUCAUUGAGUAUUUGCAGUGUGAGAUGAAGGAGUGUUAUGGAUGCGUGAUGGGACAUCACUAGGAAAAAAAGAAAAAGACAAAGCAUCAUCAUCACAGACCCUGCAUUCAUUCACAUCAUCUUUAGGGCAGGGGUGGGGAACCUGCGGCCAGCAGGCCACAUGUGGCCCUCUAGGUCCUCAGGUGUGGGCCUUUGACCAAAUCCAAACUUCACAGAACAAAUCCCCUUAAUAAAAGGAUUUGUUCUGUAAAACUUGGGCUCA